CGACCGAUGCACACAUCCUUGAGUGUCUAC
Molecule: ribosomal RNA, 30 nt
Filed under: Anopheles dirus
Lineage: Eukaryota; Metazoa; Arthropoda; Insecta; Diptera; Culicidae
Also listed under: 1 other name
Description: partial 5.8S ribosomal RNA
Source: RNAcentral